Molecule: long non-coding RNA, 410 nt
Organism: Arachis duranensis
Lineage: Eukaryota; Viridiplantae; Streptophyta; Magnoliopsida; Fabales; Fabaceae
Exons: 2
Source: RefSeq, a predicted model, not a curated record
AUUAGUCCAUUGAUCACAACAUUUUACUAAUUACAUUACAUCUCUCAUAAUGAGUCGACAAACUAAACCCCAAAAUGUGGACCAGCUCAUAUCCCUGCGUGAUCCACCCCGGCAGUCCCGCAGCAGCAACCAGCAACCUCACAGCAGCGGCGGCAGUAGCAGCAGCAACCAGCAGUCUCGUGGCGGCAGUGGCGGCGGCAGCAACAGAGCAGCGAAAAUUGAAGACAUGGCCUAUACGCCUAACAUGACCACAAAACCCACAUGAUCACUAGGAAACAAAACAGGUACAUGCAUAUGUGGAAGUGGGAAUAAGCUUGCAGCAGCAGCAGAGAUUGUUAUUGUUGAUCAAAGAUUAUUCAUUAUUUGGUUAAUUAAUUGUAAUUCGUUAAUUAUUAUUGUUCGUUUCGUUC